UACGUAGGGUGCGAGCGUUGUCCGGAAUUAUUGGGCGUAAAGAGCUCGUAGGCGGCUUGUCGCGUCGGAUGUGAAAGCCCGGGGCUUAACUCCGGGUCUGCAUUCGAUACGGGCAGGCUAGAGUGUGGUAGGGGAGAUCGGAAUUCCUGGUGUAGCGGUGAAAUGCGCAGAUAUCGGGAGGAACACCCGUAGCGAAGGCGGCACUCUGGGCCGGUACUGACGCUGAGGAGCGAAAGCGUGGGGAGCAAACAGG
This 253-nucleotide ribosomal RNA is filed under the name uncultured bacterium. Its description in RNAcentral is "partial 16S ribosomal RNA". It matches the Rfam family "Bacterial small subunit ribosomal RNA", at positions 524 to 776 of the family's 1533-position model. The record is from RNAcentral.